GAUGAAGAACGCAGCGAAAUGCGAUACGUAAUGUGAAUUCCAGAAUUCAGUGAAUCAUCGAGUCUUUGAACGCACAUUGCGCCCCCUGGUAUUCCGGGGGGCAUGCCUGUCCGAGCGUCAUUGCUGCCCUCAAGCACGGCUUGUGUGUUGGGCCUCCGCCCCCCGGCUCCCGGGGGGCGGGCCCGAAAGGCAGCGGCGGCACCGCGUCCGGUCCUCGAGCGUAUGGGGCUUCGUCACCCGCUCCGUAGGCCCGGCCGGCGCCCGCCGGCGACCCCCCUCAAUCUUUCCAGGUUGACCUCGGAUCAGGUAGGGAUACCCGCUGAACUUAAGCAUAUCAAUAAGCGGAGGA
RNAcentral lists this unclassified non-coding RNA (349 nucleotides) under soil metagenome. RNAcentral's name for it is "partial contains 5.8S ribosomal RNA, internal transcribed spacer 2, and large subunit ribosomal RNA". The stretch from base 1 to 120 matches the Rfam family "5.8S ribosomal RNA", at positions 35 to 154 of the family's 154-position model. The record is from RNAcentral.